GUAGUCAUUGCUUGUCUCAAAGAUUAAGCCAUGCAAGUCUAGUUUAAGCACAUAAACGGCGAAACUGCGAAUGGCUCAUUAAAUCAGUUAUCGUAUAUUUGAUAGUACCUACUACAUGGAUAACCGUGGUAAUUCUAGAGCUAAUACAUGCUUAAAAUCCCGACUUCGGAAGGGAUGUAUUUAUUAGAUUAAAAACCAAUGCCCUUCGGGGCUCACUGGUGAUUCAUAAUAACUUCUCGAAUCGCAUGGCCUUGCGCCGGCGAUGGUUCAUUCAAAUUUCUGCCCUAUCAACUUUCGACGGCUGGGUCUUGGCCAGCCGUGGUUACAACGGGUAACGGGGAAUGGGGCGGGGGCGGCGGGCCGGGCGCGGGGCGCGGCGGGCGAGUUCUUUUCCUUUUCCCCGGGGCCCAGCCUAAAAUGGAUGUGGAAAUUUAAUUUCUCGCGCC
RNAcentral lists this ribosomal RNA (446 nucleotides) under Sirococcus conigenus. RNAcentral describes it as "bacterial SSU rRNA". It matches the Rfam family "Eukaryotic small subunit ribosomal RNA", at positions 29 to 374 of the family's 1831-position model. Lineage: Eukaryota; Fungi; Ascomycota; Sordariomycetes; Diaporthales. The record is from RNAcentral.